This 17-nucleotide small RNA is filed under the name Arabidopsis thaliana (thale cress). RNAcentral's name for it is "ATSL307510". The record is from RNAcentral. Lineage: Eukaryota; Viridiplantae; Streptophyta; Magnoliopsida; Brassicales; Brassicaceae.
AAAAAAAAUGAAAAAAA